This 253-nucleotide ribosomal RNA is filed under the name uncultured bacterium. RNAcentral's name for it is "partial 16S ribosomal RNA". It matches the Rfam family "Bacterial small subunit ribosomal RNA", at positions 524 to 776 of the family's 1533-position model. The record is from RNAcentral.
UACAGAGGGGGCAAGCGUUGUUCGGAAUUACUGGGCGUAAAGGGCGCGUAGGCGGCCUGCUAAGUCGAACGUGAAAUCCCCGGGCUCAACCCGGGAACUGCGUCCGAUACUGGCAGGCUUGAAUCCGGGAGAGGGAUGCGGAAUUCCAGGUGUAGCGGUGAAAUGCGUAGAUAUCAGGAGGAACACCAAUGGCGAAGGCAGCACUCUGGGACGUGACUGACGCUGAGACGCGAAAGCGUGGGGAGCAAACAGG